Long non-coding RNA from Mizuhopecten yessoensis (Yesso scallop), 1230 nucleotides. RefSeq lists it as uncharacterized. The record is from RefSeq and is a predicted model, not a curated record. The transcript has 3 exons. Lineage: Eukaryota; Metazoa; Mollusca; Bivalvia; Pectinida; Pectinidae.
UCAUAACACACUGGUAUAUAAACAGAUCAGGCCGCACCAAUAAGCAUUUUAGUAUCGACAACGUUUCAGAUUUUUCAGAUUUUUUCAGUUUUUACUGAUCUUUCAGUUUCAGUAAGCUGGAUGUCUUCCAGACAAGAUAUCUACGAAGAAUUUUGCGAAUCUUCUGGCCUCAGGCUGUCUCCAAUGCAGAAUUGUACAGGAGGACAGACACCGUACCGUAGGAAAUAAAGCGAAGAAGAUGGCGGUGGAUUGGGCACGUCUGCAGGAUGCACCCGGAUCCAUCACAAGGGUAGAGAUGAGAUGGACACCAUCAGGCAAGAGGAAGAGAGUAAGACCCAAGAAAACCUGGAGGCGGUCGGUCGAGAAGGAAAUGAAGGAAGCAGGAUAUACGUGGGGACAAGUCCAACGACGGUUCAAAGACAGACAGCGCUGGAACUCUCUGGUGAUGGCCUUAUGUGCGACGCCGCAGGAAGAGGAUUAAGUAAAAUGGAUGGCCUAAUCGAUUCGCACUAAAUAAAGAAACAUUUUUUUCUCGAGUCGACGACUGUGCAUCGGGUUGUCGACUCGGGAUUCAGUUUUAGAACUGAGUUCAACACGAUGCUGGAUGUAAGAUGGUUGAAAUAAACGUCCCGAAGAAAAAACUAAAUGAUGUCAUCUGAAGUGGAAUUACAUCAAUUUUUUUCAAGAGUGGCAAUGCUCUAUUCUAAAAUUCUCUAUAUGCAGUUACUGGAAGUUUUGAUUUCAGUUCAUGGAAUUCCGAAAUCUUUAUUCGCAGUUAACGUUUGGGUUUGACAUUAAGGGAAACAUUUCCGAACAUGCAAAAACGACCGAUAAAAAAUGAAUAAAAAGUCAAAAACAUUCAAUCAGUUAAUUAGACUGGUUACUUAUAACAUUUGGUUUCAACUUUUAACUUCAGAAAUAAUGCAGAAAAAGAUCUAGAGUCAUUGGAACGUAGGAGAAAGACGGUAAACGUGAGGGAUAAUGUCAGUAUUGUUCAUAAUAACUAGAAACUAAUAUUCUGACGAUUAGAACACUGGAAAACAACACCGGGGGCCAUUAAGGACAAAACGCAUGCAGUCGUUAUCAAUUUCGUCACACUGGAACAAUAAUAACAGUCUACUUUCGGACUUUUGGUUUUUGUAUUAUCGAUGUACUGUUAUUAAUAAACAUGUAGAAAUAUCAGGGAAAAAUUGGUAUUUGGAAAAAAAAUGAAUAAUAAAUAUAUCUCGA